UACGAAGGGGGCUAGCGUUGCUCGGAAUCACUGGGCGUAAAGGGUGCGUAGGCGGGUCUUUAAGUCAGGGGUGAAAUCCUGGAGCUCAACUCCAGAACUGCCUUUGAUACUGAGGAUCUUGAGUCCGGGAGAGGUGAGUGGAACUGCGAGUGUAGAGGUGAAAUUCGUAGAUAUUCGCAAGAACACCAGUGGCGAAGGCGAGUCUCUGGACAUUUCCUGACGCUGAGGCACGAAAGCCAGGGGAGCAAACGGG
RNAcentral lists this ribosomal RNA (253 nucleotides) under uncultured bacterium. RNAcentral's name for it is "partial 16S ribosomal RNA". It matches the Rfam family "Bacterial small subunit ribosomal RNA", at positions 524 to 776 of the family's 1533-position model. The record is from RNAcentral.